RNAcentral lists this ribosomal RNA (253 nucleotides) under uncultured bacterium. RNAcentral describes it as "partial 16S ribosomal RNA". It matches the Rfam family "Bacterial small subunit ribosomal RNA", at positions 524 to 776 of the family's 1533-position model. The record is from RNAcentral.
UACGGGGGGGGCAAGCGUUGUUCGGAAUUACUGGGCGUAAAGGGCUCGUAGGCGGCCAACUAAGUCGGAUGUGAAAUCCCCAGGCUUAACCUGGGAACUGCAUCCGAUACUGGAUGGCUUGAAUCCGGGAGAGGGAUGCAGAAUUCCAGGUGUAGCGGUGAAAUGCGUAGAUAUCUGGAGGAAUACCGGUGGCGAAGGCGGCAUCCUGGACCGGCAUUGACGCUGAUGAGCGAAAGCAUGGGGAGCAAACAGG